Molecule: ribosomal RNA, 497 nt
Filed under: uncultured bacterium
Lineage: Bacteria
Description: partial 16S ribosomal RNA
Rfam family: Bacterial small subunit ribosomal RNA
Source: RNAcentral
GAUGAACGCUGGCGGCGUGCCUAACACAUGCAAGUCGAGCGAAAAGACGCGGCGCUUGCUCCUCUGUCGUUUGCGGCGCACGUGUGUGUAACACGUGUAUCACCCCCCUAUCAGUCGGGGAUAACUUCGGAAAACCGGCUCUAAUCCCGUAUAACCUCUUGCACCACUGGGGUCAAUAGUAAAUGACGGUGUUUCUGUAACUACUAGCUGGAUCCCGGCCGCAUUGGCUGGUUGGUAGGGUAACAGCUUACCAAGGCAACGAGGCGUAGCCGAACUGACGGGGGGGUAGCCGACACUGGAGGUGAGCCGCGGUCCAGACGCCUACGAGAGGCAGCAGUAGGCAAUCGUCGGCAAUGGGCGAAAGCCUGACGGAGCAACGCGAAGUGAGUGAAGAAGGUCUCCGGUGCGUAAAGCUCGGUUUUGAGGGAAGAACAGAUGUGGAAGGAGCUGAGCACGGAGUGACGGUACCUGAUCAGGAAGCCACGGCUAACUACGUG